GGGGCCUCCGUCGAGGUGCUGCAUGGUUGUCGUCAGCUCGUGCCGCGAGGUGUUGGCUUAAGUGCCAUAACGAGCGCAACCCCCAUCGCCAGUUACCAUCAAAUGAAAUUGGGGACUUUGGCGAGACUACCGGCGCAAGGUGCGAGGAAAGCGGGGAAGACGUCAAAUCAGCACGGCCCUUACGUCCGGGGCGACACACGUGUUACAAAGGCAGGCACAGAGAGAAGCGACAUGGCGACAUGAAGCGGAACUGUCAAAACCUGUCUCAGUUCGGAUUGGAGUCUGCAACCCGACUCCAUGAAGCUGGAUUCGCUAGUAAUCGCGCAUCAGCCACGGCGCGGUGAAUACGUUCCCGGGCCUUGUACACACCGCCCGUCAAGCCAUGGAAGCCGGGAGUGCCUGAAGUGCGCAACCGCAAGGAGCGCCCUAAGGUAAAACCGGUGACUGGGGCUAAGUCGUAACAAG
RNAcentral lists this ribosomal RNA (465 nucleotides) under uncultured bacterium. RNAcentral's name for it is "bacterial SSU rRNA". It matches the Rfam family "Bacterial small subunit ribosomal RNA", at positions 1023 to 1495 of the family's 1533-position model. The record is from RNAcentral.